Molecule: long non-coding RNA, 319 nt
Filed under: Fukomys damarensis (Damara mole-rat)
Lineage: Eukaryota; Metazoa; Chordata; Mammalia; Rodentia; Bathyergidae
Description: lncRNA (ENSFDAG00000031960.1)
Source: RNAcentral
CACCUGCAUCCUCACCUUGCUGACAGAGACCUGAUCCGCGGGAUCUCCAGGAGCUGGACAGGGGCAGGCUGCAGGCUGCCACACUUUGCAGGAGUCCGCUGCACCCACCAUGGAUUCAGCCUCCACAUAGUUGAGGGGCCGCGCCGGCGACUCGGUGACCACCUUGGUGUCCAUGCCCAACUCCUCCAUGCUAUCCGGGGCUCCAGCCGCCGCCGUGAUGAUUGUGUACAACACCCACUGUUCACGCAGAGGCCCAGGGGAAGAGGUUUUUUUCUUUAGCUACAUGAAUCAAAUUGCCCCUCAUCAGCACCCACCCCAC